Molecule: unclassified non-coding RNA, 358 nt
Filed under: uncultured Basidiomycota
Lineage: Eukaryota; Fungi; Basidiomycota
Description: sequence contains ITS1
Rfam family: 5.8S ribosomal RNA (bases 1-104)
Source: RNAcentral
GAAUCGCGAAAGGUAGUGUGAAUUGCAGAACCGUGAAUCAUCGAGUCUUUGAACGCAUCUUGCGCUCGGGGGCCAUUCCCCCGAGCAUGCCUGUCUGAGUGUUGGGAAUCUCUAUCUUGGGAAAAAAAAAAAGGAAAAAGGAUGUGGGAUUGCUGGGCUGACUGACCAGGCGAGCUCUCCUGAAAAGAAGAAUAAGCUUUCUCGUGCGCGCCGCUGCCACAGGCCAGAAAGGAGAGUACGAUGUUUACCGCCGCUACUCUUGCUUCUGUGUGUGUGUGUGUGCUUGAGACGCGAGGGAAAAAAAGCACUGUCUAUUCACUUCGACCUCAGAUCAGGUAGGACUACCCGCUGAACUUAA